RNAcentral lists this transfer RNA (77 nucleotides) under Bacillota bacterium. RNAcentral's name for it is "Firmicutes bacterium (gut metagenome) tRNA-Val". It matches the Rfam family "tRNA". Rfam says of the family: Transfer RNA (tRNA) molecules are approximately 80 nucleotides in length. The record is from RNAcentral. RNAcentral also lists the same sequence under 4 other names. Lineage: Bacteria; Bacillati; Bacillota.
GGAGGCAUAGCCCAGUUGGUUAGAGCGCUACGUUGACAUCGUAGAGGUCACAAGUUCGAGUCUUGUUGUCUCCACCA